Manis javanica (Malayan pangolin) is the source of this 1666-nucleotide non-coding RNA. NCBI's taxonomy places the organism in Eukaryota, Metazoa, Chordata, Mammalia, Pholidota, Manidae. The record is from RefSeq and is a predicted model, not a curated record.
GGGACGUCCGAGAGGUGAGAAGCUGACGUCGAGGUGACGCGCCAACUUAAUCACAUCUUACGUCACUCGUGGUUCUUUUGGCUCGCCCGCUGCGAUUGGCCAGGGGCAAAAGUGCAUAGCUUUUCCUGUUAUCCCAUUCCUUGAAGCAGCUUUUCAGAUGUCAGUAACCUGACCAAGACAAUUGAUGUGAGUUGAAGAAUGAAGUAUGUGUCGCUGAAGUCGGGAGGACUGAGGCCACGGUGACAGCAGGCUCUUUUCUCAAUGUAUGGACAAUCAACACCUCAGCAGGGUGACUGCCAAGUAGAAGAGGAACAUUUUGUAAUGCAUCCUGAAAGUCUGUGGUCAGACUUUCAGCAGAUUCAAGUAAGCAAAGCUAAGACAAAGAGAAAGUGUGUGGUUCACAUUCUCUCAGCCUUUGAAACCCAAGAUUCCUGCCCAGAUCCUACCAUUCUGAUUGGACUGCACCACUGGAUAGAGAUACUAGUGUAGUGAAUCCAUUAGGGAUUUAUUCACUCCAGAAAGGUUUUAUAUUUGAAAAUGGGAGUAUAGUGUAUAGCGUUUUUUACUAUAUCCACUUUCCCUCAUUUCAGAACAGUUAGGAAACGUUACUCAAUACUUGGUCUCUGUCAGUCUUAUGUUGUGGAUGUAUUGGCCCUCCACCAUGCUUCUUACCCCCAACAAGCAGAGGCAAACAGAUUCUGAAUUCUCCUGCUUGUCUUGGGCAUCCCCAUGCUGGCUCACAGCCUGCCCUGGCCUUGUUAUGCAGUGGGCUGAUGGGGUUACCAGGAUGCCCAUGGGUGCUUCCUGUGGCUCUGACAGGGCCCUGGCAGAUUGAGCUGAUUACUCACAGCCAACUGCUUAUUUUCAGGAAUUUAUUCCAUUUUCCUAUUUUGCCAACAUCAUCUAAUUGAGGACCAGAUGCUUUUAGUCAGCAUCUUCUGCAACUGAUGGAGCUCCACCAUCUUCCUUUACUCUAGGAGUCUAAUGCCCAGGCUUGAAUAAAUAGGUUUUCCCUAUUCAUUCUGAAGGAAGUAUAUGACUUUUAAAGGAGCAGGUGAACAUAAGGGUACUUUUCAACACAGAAUGGAACUGUGCUCUGGAGACAAUGGGGGAAGAAAGUGUGAGUAUAUAGUUUAAGGACUGUAAAUGGAAGCACACUUCUCUGGAGGCAGUUUAGUUCGUCUAUCAAGAUUUUAAAAUGUGCAUACUUUUGACCAAGGAAUUUUGCUUCUAACCAUGUAUGUACAACGUAUACUAGUAUAUGUAUUCAAAGAGGAAUGUAUAAGGAUAUUUAUACAGCAUGGUUUAUAAUAGCAAAAGACUGGAAGUAAACGAAAUUCUAUUUAGUAGGUAACUACUUAAAUAAGUUAUCAGACAUUCAUACAGUAGAAUGAGGCAGAUCUAUAUCUACCAAUAUGGAAGAUUCCCAAGAUUUACAAGCUAUCUAAGGAGGGACACACAGUGCUGCCAUUUAUGGGAAAAAAGGGCUGCCUGUGUACAUGUGGAUGUUUGUGUCUGUGCAACCUGUCUUGACAUACUGUUAUCAGCAGUUGCUUAUGCUGAAGGGAGCUAUGGAAGUGAGAAGGGGAGGUGGAAAGAGUCUUACUUUUCUCUGUAUGUCCUUUUGUAAAACUUUAAAUGUUCUCCUUUUGCCUACAAUGCCUAU